GAGCAGCAUCGUCGGCUGCUCA
Molecule: unclassified non-coding RNA, 22 nt
Filed under: Neurospora
Lineage: Eukaryota; Fungi; Ascomycota; Sordariomycetes; Sordariales; Sordariaceae
Description: 5'-R(*GP*AP*GP*CP*AP*GP*CP*AP*UP*CP*GP*UP*CP*GP*GP*CP*UP*GP*CP*UP*CP*A)-3' from Neurospora (PDB 2MI0, chain A)
Source: RNAcentral